Molecule: transfer RNA, 77 nt
Filed under: Bacteroidales bacterium
Lineage: Bacteria; Pseudomonadati; Bacteroidota; Bacteroidia; Bacteroidales
Description: tRNA-Ile
Rfam family: tRNA
About the family: Transfer RNA (tRNA) molecules are approximately 80 nucleotides in length. Their secondary structure includes four short double-helical elements and three loops (D, anti-codon, and T loops).
Source: RNAcentral
GGGCCAUUAGCUCAGUCGGUUAGAGCACUGUGCUGAUAACGCAGGGGUCCGCCGUUCGAUUCGGCGAUGGCCCACCA